UCCUUUCAAAUCAUCUCUUUUAAGUUUCUACCAUUUUUUCAUUUUGUUACCACCAUCAUCUUAGAUUUCUUUUCAAAUGAAUGCAAGACUCUUUAAAACACAUAUUCAUUCAUUCAUUAUCAUUUCAAAUCUUGACAAAUACAAUGCAAUCAAGUAUUUUCUCAAUUCAUUCUAGGGGUGUAACAAUAAAAGAACACAAGGUGAAUUAUGGUAAAGAUAAUCAAUGAAGAUCUAUUUCGG
Molecule: long non-coding RNA, 240 nt
Filed under: Durio zibethinus
Lineage: Eukaryota; Viridiplantae; Streptophyta; Magnoliopsida; Malvales; Malvaceae
Description: long non-coding RNA (DZIB_LNC001645)
Source: RNAcentral